Molecule: ribosomal RNA, 493 nt
Filed under: uncultured bacterium
Lineage: Bacteria
Description: bacterial SSU rRNA
Rfam family: Bacterial small subunit ribosomal RNA
Source: RNAcentral
UGAACGCUGGCGGAGUGCUUAAUACAUGCAAGUCGUGCGAGAAAGAUUCUUCGGAAUUGAGUAGAGCGGCGAACGGGUGAGUAACACGUAAAUAACCUGCCCCUAAAUUUGGGAUAACCAUGCUAACGCGUGGCUAAUACCGAAUGUGGUGUAAGUGCCUCAUGGUACUACUAUUAAAGGCGGUCUUUCGGGGCUGUUGUUUAGGGAUGGAUUUGCGUACUAUUAGUUAGUUGGUAAGGUAACGGCUUACCAAGACGAUGAUAGUUAGCCGACCUGAGAGGGUGAUCGGCCACAUUGGGACUGAGACACGGCCCAGACUCCUACGGGAGGCAGCAGUAGGGAAUAUUGCGCAAUGGACGAAAGUCUGACGCAGCAACUCCGCGUGGAGGAUGACGGUUUUCGGAUUGUAAACUCCUUUUAUUUGGGAAGAAAGUGCUUAGUAGUAACUGACUAAGUUUUGACGGUACCAUUUGAAUAAGCCACGGCUAAAUAC